Molecule: ribosomal RNA, 413 nt
Filed under: Lactobacillus crispatus
Lineage: Bacteria; Bacillati; Bacillota; Bacilli; Lactobacillales; Lactobacillaceae
Description: bacterial SSU rRNA
Rfam family: Bacterial small subunit ribosomal RNA
Source: RNAcentral
AGUCUGAUGGAGCACGCCGCGUGAGUGAAGAAGGUUUUCGGAUCGUAAAGCUCUGUUGUUGGUGAAGAAGGAUAGAGGUAGUAACUGGCCUUUAUUUGACGGUAAUCAACCAGAAAGUCACGGCUAACUACGUGCCAGCAGCCGCGGUAAUACGUAGGUGGCAAGCGUUGUCCGGAUUUAUUGGGCGUAAAGCGAGCGCAGGCGGAAGAAUAAGUCUGAUGUGAAAGCCCUCGGCUUAACCGAGGAACUGCAUCGGAAACUGUUUUUCUUGAGUGCAGAAGAGGAGAGUGGAACUCCAUGUGUAGCGGUGGAAUGCGUAGAUAUAUGGAAGAACACCAGUGGCGAAGGCGGCUCUCUGGUCUGCAACUGACGCUGAGGCUCGAAAGCAUGGGUAGCGAACAGGAUUAGAUACC